AAAUAGAGUGAGUGUUAGCGAAGAGUGAAGAGUGAAGCGUGAAGGGAAGAUGAAAAGGUUUUUCCAAGUAGUGGAGAAAGAUUCAGAUGGUUGUUUGAAGAAGCCAAGAGAGAGUGAGAGUGAGGAAGAAGAGAAGAAGGAGCCGUUGAAGUUUUUGACAUGGAAUGCUAACAGCUUAUUCAUUCGGGUCAAGAACAAUUGGCCCGAAUUCACCAACUUCGUUACCAGUUUUGAUCCUGAUGUCAUUGCCAUACAGGAAGUGCGGAUGCCUGCUGCUGGAUCCAAGGGUGCAUCUAAGAAUCAGGGAGAAAUAAAAGAUGAUACAAGCUCCUCCAGGGAAGAAAAGAAGAUAUUGAUGCGUGCACUUUCAACUCCACCUUUUGGGAACUAUCGUGUUUGGUGGUCUCUCGCAGAUUCAAAGUAUGCAGGGACAGCACUACUAGUGAAAAAAUGCUUUAAGCCAAAAAGUGUCGUUUUCAAUCUAGAUAAAAUUGCUUCGAAGCAUGAACCAGAUGGCCGAGUAAUCUUAGCUGAAUUUGAAACACUUCGUAUAUUGAAUACAUAUGUACCAAACAAUGGAUGGAAAGAGGAGGCAAACUCAUUUCAGAGGAGAAGAAAAUGGGAUAAAAGGAUUCUGGAAUUUGUUACACAAAAUUCAGACAAACCUUUGAUAUGGUGUGGGGAUCUGAAUGUCAGCCAUGAAGAGAUCGACGUGAGUCAUCCAGAGUUUUUCAGUGCAGCAAAACAAAAUGGCUAUGUUCCUCCCAAUAAAGAGGAUUGUGGGCAGCCUGGAUUUACCUUGGCUGAAAGAAAACGAUUUGGUACCAUCUUAAGAGAGGGAAAGCUGAUAGAUGCCUACAGAUUUCUGCACAAGGAUAAGGACAUGGAGCAAGGUUUCUCAUGGUCUGGAAAUCCAGUUGGAAAUAUUUUCUUUGAAGGUAUCGCGGAAAACGGAUGAGAAUAGACUAUUUUACAGUUUCAGAAAAACUUAAAGAAAGGAUUGUUGCAUGUGAAAUGCAUGGACAAGGGAUAGAGUUACAGGGUUUCUAUGGAAGUGAUCAUUGUCCAGUUACCUUGGAGCUCUCUCCAUCUUCCAACUCUCAAAACGAGGAUCCAAUCUAAGAAGCACUUUGCUGUUCCGAUCAUUUUUUUUCUUAUUUAGAUGAUCAAUGUUCCUUAGUGAGAAGCUAUUUUUUUUACAAUGUUUCUGUGGUGUGGACUAGCUGCAUACGUACAGAAUAUGGUUAUAGUAUUGAUUAGGUGCUUCAUCUUUAGAUAAUUUCCCCAAGAACUGAGACACUACUUCCAACUCUACAGUACUUUCAUUGCAGCAAAUGGUAUUCACUUUAGCAUUAGAAGUAAAACAAAACAAGUACAUGGGGUCAUUGGAUUGAUUCGGCCAUCAUAUCAAAAUUAAUUUGGUGUGGGUGGUA
This is an RNA transcript of Gastrolobium bilobum, 1433 nucleotides long. It is a transcript of the gene named DNA-(apurinic or apyrimidinic site) endonuclease, with no coding region annotated. Lineage: Eukaryota; Viridiplantae; Streptophyta; Magnoliopsida; Fabales; Fabaceae. The transcript has 9 exons. The record is from RefSeq and is a predicted model, not a curated record.